This 191-nucleotide ribosomal RNA is filed under the name uncultured Acidobacteriota bacterium. RNAcentral's name for it is "uncultured Acidobacteria bacterium partial 16S ribosomal RNA". It matches the Rfam family "Bacterial small subunit ribosomal RNA", at positions 338 to 524 of the family's 1533-position model. Lineage: Bacteria; Pseudomonadati; Acidobacteriota. The record is from RNAcentral.
CCUACGGGAGGCAGCAGUCGGGAAUUUUGGGCAAUGGGCGAAAGCCUGACCCAGCAACGCCGCGUGAAGGAUGAAAUCCCUCGGGAUGUAAACUUCGCAAGAACGGGAAGAAUAAGCUGGUGUGAAUAUCACCAGCGAUGACGGUACCGUUUGUAAGCUCCGGCUAACUCCGUGCCAGCAGCCGCGGUAAU